This 482-nucleotide ribosomal RNA is filed under the name uncultured bacterium. RNAcentral describes it as "partial 16S ribosomal RNA". It matches the Rfam family "Bacterial small subunit ribosomal RNA", at positions 28 to 507 of the family's 1533-position model. The record is from RNAcentral.
GAUGAACGCUAGCGGCAGGCCUAAUACAUGCAAGUCGGACGGGAUUAAGGAGCUUGCUUCUGAUGAGAGUGGCGCACGGGUGCGUAACACGUAUGUAACCUACCUUUAUCAGGGGGAUAGCCUCUCGAAAGAGAGAUUAAGCCCGCAUAAAAUCACAGCACAGCAUUGUGUAAUGAUCAAAUAUUUAUAGGAUAAAGAUGGGCAUGCGGAACAUUAGCUAGAUGGCGGGGUAACGGCCCACCAUGGCGACGAUGUUUAGGGGAUCUGAGAGGAUGGCCCCCCACACUGGUACUGAGGCACGGACCAGACUCCUACGGGAGGCAGCAGUAAGGAAUAUUGGGCAAUGGGCGGAAGCCUGAACCAGCCAUGCCGCGUGCAGGAAGACGGCGCUACGGGUUGUAAACUGCUUUUAUACGGGAAUAAACCCAGAUACGUGUAUCUUGCUGAAUGUACUGUAAGAAUAAGGAUCGGCUAACUCCGUG